Oreochromis aureus is the source of this 800-nucleotide long non-coding RNA. Lineage: Eukaryota; Metazoa; Chordata; Actinopteri; Cichliformes; Cichlidae. The record is from Ensembl.
GCAUUCGAACAUGGAUCUCAGGGCUUGACUCACUUUGGUGGAUCCUUGGAUUCUACUUUUAGGACUUGGUUUUAUGCAAACCUUGGACUCUUAAACUCAGCAUGAAAGACCCAUCAUCAAGGAAAUUUACGUAACCCACCGCUUUCCAGAUGUCAGCCUGAGCAGGAAGAAACUGGAGCCUGCAGAGGAGAAGCAGCUGUACAGGAGGCAGGGCUGGUGAUGCAAAGACACAAAGACAGUUGCUGACAUCAUGAGCUGCGUGGAAAAGCGACACAUGAGCCAUCGGGCAGGGAGCAUGCUCCAUCACCGCUUCCCCAAUGGCUUCACGGACAUGUUCAUGGAUGAGACCGAUCGGGAGGUUAGCACUCUCACCGAUCGAGCCUUCCGAAGUCUCUGCGUUGGAGAUGAUGCAGUUUACAAUGACGAAUUCUUGUGUGGAUACUCGCCUUUCAGCUGCCACAAACCUCUGGCAGAGGAGCCACUUAAAAAGAAUCCAAUUAAGGAAUCUAAAAAACAGGGGCAAAGCAAAAGUGAGAAAAACCACACCCAGCCAUGGAAACACCAUCAGCAGAAAAAUAUAUCCCACAUGUCAUCUUUCCUCAAAGCAUUAAGCGCCACAGAAGAAAGCUGCAAGGGGAUGUUAAUCAAAAAUGGAAGCACGACUGAUGCUAAUGGAGAAUCGUGGGAUAAAACAGCACUUCGCAGCAUUCAAAGAGAGCUGUCAGAAUUCUCCUCAGAUUAUCACACCAGUCUCACAGAUCAUCGUUACAAAAACCCUCUUCAGCAUCAGUCUGGUGAUG